This 72-nucleotide transfer RNA is filed under the name Omphalotus olearius VT 653.13. Its description in RNAcentral is "tRNA-His (GTG) (tRNA-His-GTG-3-1)". It matches the Rfam family "tRNA". From Rfam's summary of the family: Transfer RNA (tRNA) molecules are approximately 80 nucleotides in length. Their secondary structure includes four short double-helical elements and three loops (D, anti-codon, and T loops). The record is from RNAcentral. Lineage: Eukaryota; Fungi; Basidiomycota; Agaricomycetes; Agaricales; Omphalotaceae.
GUCCUUGUCGAUUAGUGGUUAGAUCAUCACGUUGUGGCCGUGAAGACACAGGCUCGAAUCCUGUCUGGGACA